Molecule: ribosomal RNA, 305 nt
Filed under: uncultured bacterium
Lineage: Bacteria
Description: bacterial SSU rRNA
Rfam family: Bacterial small subunit ribosomal RNA
Source: RNAcentral
UGCCUACGGGGGGCAGCAGUAGGGAAUUUUCGUCAAUGGGCGCAAGCCUGAACGAGCAAUGCCGCGUGAGUGAGGAAGGUCUUCGGGUCGUAAAGCUCUGUUGCAGGUCAGAAAAGAAGGGAAGAGGAAAUGCUUUUCUUUUGAUAGUAACCUGCCAGAAAGUCACGGCUAACUACGUGCCAGCAGCCGUGGUAAUACGUAGGUGGCAAGCGUUAUCCGGAAUGAUUGGGCGUAAAGGGUGCGCAGGCGGCACGGCAAGCCGGCGGUCAAAUCGCGGGGCUCAACCCCGCCCAGCCGUCGGAACU